Non-coding RNA from Camellia sinensis, 946 nucleotides. The record is from RefSeq and is a predicted model, not a curated record. NCBI's taxonomy places the organism in Eukaryota, Viridiplantae, Streptophyta, Magnoliopsida, Ericales, Theaceae.
CUCGCACACGACGAUCGACCUUCGCAAUCGACUCUCUCUCUCGGCAACUUUGAGAGAGACUCCAAGAGCUGAAGAACUCCUUCCUGCGAAGCUAUUGAAGAGGUUUAAUCGAAGGUGCUAAUCGAUUCUCUCCUUCAAAGAUCACAUUCCGCAAACGACCCCCUCCGCUCCAAUGACGACUCCUCUUCUCGUCAGAGUUUUUAAGGAUUGAAGAUGUCUGAAUCUGAAGCUGACGCAAACUCUCAACUAGGCUUGAAAUCCCUGUGAAGGUAAAGGUGAAGGUGAAGGUGAAGCGAUUUAGAUUUUUAGAUACGUACACUCUUUUUUUGCCAUGAGACGAAGCUUGGGAAGAAUUUCGAGUCCCACCAUCGGCAAUGCCACCAAACACAAUUUGAUCGCCUUCUCCUCCUCCGCUUUUUCCACCUUUGCUGGUGGCGGUGGCGGUGGCGGUGGAGGUGGAGGUGGAGGUAGAGGUAGGGGAUGAGGCUCCUCCAACUUCCAAUUCACCAUUCCCGCCUCCACCAACCCCGCCCCGCCUGCCCCUGGUGAUGGUGAUGGUGAUGACGAUGAUCCAAAAGGCUUCCCAUCUGGGAUGGGUCAUGACCGAGGUAAACCCCUCCCUGGUACCCCUAUUCUUCCAUCAUUUUCUUCCUUCAUCUCUUCCGUUGUUAGUAGUAGUGGUAACAACAACACUACUACUGGACGUGGCAGAGCCCCUGCCCCUCCUUCGCAAUCUGAGCAUGAGCUUAAGAGACCCAUUUUCUUUAGCAAAGAAGACGCGACUGAUUUGACCACUCCCUCUAAAAUCCAAAUUGGAAAUUCCCUAGACAGCAACCUCCCCUCCAGUAUUUUAUCUGCCCUGUCUAGUGCCGGCCGUGGAAAGCCCCUCGCUAAACAAUUGCUUCCCGACGACAUGCCUAAGGAAGAAAAUCGCCACCUCAGGUCC